GAGAAGCUUUUUAUGUCCCUCUCUGGGACGCGGCGUAAAUUUAAGUUUUACGUAAGGACUUAUUGAAACCUCCUUGGAGACAGCAAACUUUUAUACGGAUAGUUCAUUCAGCUUGAAUACUUCAAUUAAUCAUUUAUUAUAACAUUUCUAUCAUAAAUGAGUGAAAGUUACCCCAGAAUUUUUAUUUAUUGGCCUAAAAAGUAGAAAUUUUGAGGAAAUGAGAGGUAUAAAUGGACCAAAAGAGACCUUAUAAGGAAGACAAAGAGGUCCAUUAGUACUAUUUAUCAUCCUAAAGUCAUCUUUUGUAUCAUAUUCAACUGUUUGUAGGCAGAUGAGAUAAAUAUUUGAUCAUUUAUUGGUCCACACUAUAUUCUAUCAUGAUGCGGCUGGGUUUGGAUUUUUAGAAGAAAUUUUGCUCGAAUCGCUGUAGAUGUCGUCUGACAUUAUACUAGAUUUUUCUCAAAUUAUUGAACUGAUUAUGACAAAACUUGACAGGAAUGCUUGAAAUAAUCCGUAUUACAAAGGAAAAAAGUCACAUUCAGUUUAUUUAACAAAAAAGUCUUCUUUAGGUGUAAUACCACCAAAUCAUAGUACGUCACAUCCGGUUGCAUACGAAAAUAGGUCUAAAAAAAUAUUCCCUUGAAUUUGACAGUUGUAGGUAAUUGAUCCUACAUUUCAUUGCAGUAAAACAUUUCUGGGUCAUAAACAUAUAUCUUGGGUAUUUCAAAGCACCAUUAUUUUUUUAUUUGGGGUUUCUAUAAAAUAUUUUGGAAACUUGAGGUUACAUGGUUACUAAAGCUUGUACACAGGUUAAAAAGGGGGAAAAUUUGAUUGGUUAACUUCCAGUGAUGAUUAUUUUCUUAUA
Long non-coding RNA from Mytilus californianus (California mussel), 865 nucleotides. RefSeq lists it as uncharacterized. Lineage: Eukaryota; Metazoa; Mollusca; Bivalvia; Mytilida; Mytilidae. The record is from RefSeq and is a predicted model, not a curated record. The transcript is spliced from 2 exons.